This 497-nucleotide ribosomal RNA is filed under the name uncultured bacterium. RNAcentral's name for it is "partial 16S ribosomal RNA". It matches the Rfam family "Bacterial small subunit ribosomal RNA", at positions 28 to 507 of the family's 1533-position model. The record is from RNAcentral.
GAUGAACGCUGGCGGCGUGCCUAAUACAUGCGAGUCGAGCGAACAGAUGAGGAGCUUGCUCCUCUGACGUUAGCGGCGGACGGGUGAGUAACACGUGGAUAACCUACCUAUAAGGCUGGGAUAACUUCGGGAAACCGGAGCUAAUACCGGAUAAUAUAUUGAACCGCAUGGUUCAAUAGUGAAAGACGGUUUUGCUGUCACUUAUAGACGGAUCCGCGCCGCAUUAGCUAGUUGGUAAGGUAACGGCUUACCAAGGCAACGAUGCGUAGCCGACCUGAGAGGGUGAUCGGCCACACUGGAACUGAGACACGGUCCAGACUCCUACGGGAGGCAGCAGUAGGGAAUCUUCCGCAAUGGGCGAAAGCCUGACGGAGCAACGCCGCGUGAGUGAUGAAGGUCUUCGGAUCGUAAAACUCUGUUAUUAGGGAAGAACAAAUGUGUAAGUAACUAUGCACGUCUUGACGGUACCUAAUCAGAAAGCCACGGCUAACUACGUG